RNAcentral lists this transfer RNA (58 nucleotides) under Mesocricetus auratus (golden hamster). It matches the Rfam family "tRNA", at positions 8 to 63 of the family's 71-position model. Rfam says of the family: Transfer RNA (tRNA) molecules are approximately 80 nucleotides in length. Their secondary structure includes four short double-helical elements and three loops (D, anti-codon, and T loops). The record is from Rfam by way of RNAcentral. Lineage: Eukaryota; Metazoa; Chordata; Mammalia; Rodentia; Cricetidae.
UGGCUCAGAGGUUAAGAGCACUGGCUACUCUUCCAGAGGACCUGGGUUCGAUUCCCAG